RNAcentral lists this unclassified non-coding RNA (392 nucleotides) under soil metagenome. RNAcentral's name for it is "partial contains 5.8S ribosomal RNA, internal transcribed spacer 2, and large subunit ribosomal RNA". The stretch from base 1 to 123 matches the Rfam family "5.8S ribosomal RNA", at positions 35 to 154 of the family's 154-position model. The record is from RNAcentral.
GAUGAAGAACGCAGCGAAAUGCGAUACGUAAUGUGAAUUGCAGAUCUCUCAGUGAACCAUCGAAUUUUUGAACGCACAUAGCGCCCGCCGGUCAUUCCGGCGGGCAUGCCUGUCCGAGCGUCGAUGACGCCGCUCGAGCCCCCGUGCUCGGUGUUGGGGCGCUAGGUCUCCCAGAGGCCUAGGCCCCCAAGUAGCAGUGCGCGGUCCGGCUGCGGGCCCCGGGUACAGUAACUUCACUGUUGAGAUGCCCUGGGAGCCGCUGGCUGGGUCAGGCGUAAAACCCCCGACAUAGGCCUUCCUGUCCGCCCCCGGCGGGGAGGGAGACCGCCUAAUGUUGACCUCGGAUCAGGUAGGACUACCCGCUGAACUUAAGCAUAUCAAUAAGCGGAGGA